This 254-nucleotide ribosomal RNA is filed under the name uncultured bacterium. Its description in RNAcentral is "partial 16S ribosomal RNA". It matches the Rfam family "Bacterial small subunit ribosomal RNA", at positions 524 to 776 of the family's 1533-position model. The record is from RNAcentral.
UACGGGGGGAGCAAGCGUUGUUCGGAUUUACUGGGCGUAAAGGGCGCGUAGGCGGUCAGUGCAAGUCAGUUGUGAAAUCUCCGAGCUUAACUCGGAAAGGUCAACUGAUACUGCUCGACUAGAGUGCGGAAGGGGCAACUGGAAUUCUUGGUGUAGCGGUGAAAUGCGUAGAUAUCAAGAGGAACACCUGCGGCGAAGGCGGGUUGCUGGGCCGACACUGACGCUGAAGCGCGAAAGCUAGGGGAGCGAACGGG